CUCUGUAUAUUUCCACGAUCCUUACAGGACUGUAUGGUAUGAGGGACUGCUGGAUCUUGCAAACCUAGGUCCACACACCUGGGUUUAUGUAUAAGGAGGAUA
Haliotis rubra (blacklip abalone) is the source of this 102-nucleotide long non-coding RNA. RefSeq lists it as uncharacterized. Lineage: Eukaryota; Metazoa; Mollusca; Gastropoda; Lepetellida; Haliotidae. The record is from RefSeq and is a predicted model, not a curated record. The transcript is spliced from 3 exons.